UAAAACAUGCAAGUUAAACGAGACCUUAGGGUCUAGUGGCAGACGGGUGAGUAACGGGUGGGAAUCUGCCCUUUGGUUAGGAAUAACUCAGGGAAACUGGUGCUAAUACCGAAUAAUGUCUUUGGGGGAAAGAUUUAUCGCCUUUGGAUGGGCCCGCGUUGGAUUAGCUAGUUGGUGGGGUAAAGGCCUACCAAGGCGACGAUCCGUAGCUGGUCUGAGAGGAUGAUCAGCCACACUGGGACUGAGACACGGCCCAGACUCCUACGGGAGGCAGCAGUCGCCCGCCGCGCCCCGC
RNAcentral lists this ribosomal RNA (295 nucleotides) under uncultured Porphyrobacter sp. RNAcentral describes it as "partial 16S ribosomal RNA". It matches the Rfam family "Bacterial small subunit ribosomal RNA", at positions 49 to 357 of the family's 1533-position model. Lineage: Bacteria; Pseudomonadati; Pseudomonadota; Alphaproteobacteria; Sphingomonadales; Erythrobacteraceae. The record is from RNAcentral.